Molecule: long non-coding RNA, 3035 nt
Organism: Elgaria multicarinata webbii
Lineage: Eukaryota; Metazoa; Chordata; Lepidosauria; Squamata; Anguidae
Exons: 2
Source: RefSeq, a predicted model, not a curated record
GAAAAAAGGGAACAAGAAAUAAUCAGCUGAAAGAGCUCAGAUAAAGAAACCUUAACAGUAGAGACACACGUUCCAAACAGGAACAUUUAUGUCUGUUUGUUUGUCUUCCUUCCUACCCCAAUUCCUAUUAUGAGCCUGAGAAAUAACAGGACUCCUAUAUAAGCCAUACCUGUGUUAUGUGUAAUGUGACAUGUCUGAAUGAGUUGCCCUGAAUGAGUGGACCACCUUUCCUACCACCCUCCACUUAUGAGCCGUGCCAAUCAAAACUCUAUCUAUCGUGCCUUCCCUUGCAAAGGGACAGUGCCGUUAGGGGGGUGAGAAAGGCACAGACACCCUGUUAUAAGCCCUGUUGUGAAAACCCCUGUUGUGCUUGUGCCCAAAAACCCAGAAGUUGCCACGUACGAAAGCUCUUCACGUGCUUGAGUGUGGUAACGAGAAACGGUGUGCAUAGAUAAGAACAGAAGAAAUAGCUGCUGUGGUUUUUUUUGUAAGUAACCUCAGACUGUGGAGCAAAAGAGAUAAUGGGAAGCUCCGGGUCAAAAACAGGCAGCCCAGAAUCAGAAAAAACCCCGUUAAAGAAAAUGUGUAAGAUCUACAAAGAUCGUAUGCCAUCUAGGUUGAAUUUAAAAAGAUUAGAAAUUCUACGGGCCGCCACCCAAUACUGGGAUGACAUCCAAGAAAGAAAACUAGGAAAAGAAAAAUUAGAAACCAAGUUGCUAACCUUGCAAAUAGAACAGCUCCAGACUCAAAUCCUACCUUAAGAAGUUUGGCUAAACAGUGCAUAGACGCAGUAUUGCAACUAAGAAGACCUAAAAAUAAAAACAGCUAUGAUACCAAAUUUCUCAUUAUUAGCAAGCUACAUGAUACAAAUUGAUACAAGCCACAAGAUUCAGUCCCUGAACCACUAAAAUGGUCAGAGGAAAUGAAUCAGAGAUGAGAAGACUUAAUAACCUCAUUAACCAAAAUUCAUGCACUGGGCUUGCGAAUAGCAUAUUACUCUGCACAAUUAGACGCAGCUGCACAAGGAUUUCCACCUUGCUCCAAGCAGUGGCUGCUACCGCCUUGCUUGUAAAGAAAAAGCAGCUGAUUUGAAAUUAAGAAAAAUUUGUGGGUUAGAGUUCCACCGUUGCAGCCUUGUUGAUAACCAAAUCUACACAAUUUCUAUCGAAUCAGAGAUUGACUCGAUACGAGCAGAUACUACCAGCAAUUACCCUUAAACAGUGCACUACCUUAAAUGAUUGCGAAGUGGUAAUUCAAGAAUUUGACUGAUGUUACAUUGCCAGCUCCAGAUAUAGUUCUGUUUACUGAUAGCUCUUGUAAAGGAAACAGCUGAAGAGGGCUAGUAGCCAGAUAUGCAGUAAUUUCUCAAGUACUGAUAAAAUAAAAAUAAAAAGGAAGUGUAUACCACAUUAGAAAGUUUCGCUCUGCCACGAAGUGCACAAGCCGCAGAAUUAAUUGCUUUAACCAGAACCUAGCAAAAGGUUUGUCAAUAAAUAUUCAUACAAUAUUGUUUUGUAAUCUGUCAUGCAGUUGAGCAAAUCUAAGAAUAUAGAGGCUUUAUGACAGCUGCAGGAGGGCCUAUAGCAAAUAGCCCUUUAGCUGCAAAGUUGUUUGAAACAAUCUUGCAAAUCCAACACUAAAGAGAACACUCUUUUCCCAGGAUACUACUCCAACUUGGGAAAAAGAAUCUUGCAACUUAAAGAAAAGAAUCUUAAGAAGAAAAUAAUACUAAUAAUAAAAAUUGAGAAAAAUAAUGUAUGGGUAUUUUAUAAUGACAAACCAAUUGCAUCUUGAGAUUUAGUUAAGACACUAACAUACUUAAACAAUGGUGUGCCCCAAGAAUACACCUAGAAGCUAAAUGAGUGUGCCAAAAGUGUGUAACUUGCCUGAAGUUUUUAUAGUCCUAAACUAUCUGCACACACCCGUGAGUUUAUAGUCCAUUUCAAUAUUGCAGAUUGACUUUAUUGAAUUUACUAACGCAAUAAGAUUUAAAUACUGUUUGACUGUUGUGUGCAUUUUCAGUAGAUGGGUAGAAAGUUUUCCUGUAUAAUAUGCAACAGAAAAAUCCACAAUUAAAUGCUUACUAAGAGAAGUGGUGCCCAGAUUUAGCGUACCUUUAAAGGUGAAUUCAGACUAUACUAAGAGUUGAAGUGAAAUUCCUUUGGUGUUAAUGAACUUGAGAAACAGCCCCGACAGAAAACAUGGACUCACACAACAUAAGAUUGUAUUUGGGAAGCUUAUGGCUGUUGGACUGUCUCUGCCAAAACCAUUUUUCCCCUCACUGAGAGCAGUGAGGAAAUAAUCUGUAAUGUUCUACACUUACACAGACUAUUAGUUCAACUCCAAAGAAAAGUGAGAAACAAGCAACUGCUUUCAGCUGAUGUUCUAUGUCAUCAUUUCCAACCAAGAGAUGCAGUGUUCAUAAAAGUCCAUAAAAAGCCCAAUUCGUUGGCUCCUACUUAGGACGGGCCUUGUAUUGUGUUGCUGACCACACACACCUGGAUACAUGCAGCCCAUGUGAAAAAGCUAAAUCCAGGAUGCCAGAUGGAUGAUCCAGAUGAUCCAGUUGCACUAGAAAGUUACUCAGACCUGAUUGAGAUGUUAAAGGAUGAAAGAAGCUGCCAGGAGGAAGCCAAGAGAAGCCCCUGUACAUGCUAAGCGACCAAGUGUCCAGUGGAGAGAGUGAGUUGAGGCUGAAGAGCAGGAACUCCCCUCCACGGAACGACAUCUGGUCAGUCAGCAAGAUCAGCUGUCCUUUUAACCUCAAGUCAAGAGUUUCUGAGUUAACGAGGCAUAAUAACCUUCCAACGAAAUCUGGAUGCUCUAAGAGACAUUCAGUGAAGAGAAGAUAUUAAGACAACGCCGUUACAACUACUUUGUGUGUUUUUAACCUCUAUAGUUCUCUGAAUUGUAAAAAUGAAAUUUGAGUGUGUGUUAUUUCUUAUUAUACAAGCCCUGCCUUGCAUUGCAAUCCAAAAAAGAGUCUCAAAAGCAUCCCAUGACUUGAGCAGGUAAAAAAAAAAAAAAGAAAGAAA